GGGUUAGUAGGUUGGUCAUGCCUCUGGUAUGUACUGGUCUCACUGAUUCCUCCUUCUGACGAACCAUUAUGUCAUUUAUUUGGUGUUGUGGGGAAUCAGGACUGUUACUUUGAAAAAAUUAGAGUGUUUAAAGCAGGCUCACGCUUGAAUACAUUAGCAUGGAAUAAUAAAAUAGGACGUGCGGUUCUAUUUUGUUGGUUUCUAGAGUCGCCGUA
This 215-nucleotide ribosomal RNA is filed under the name Campeiostachys nutans. RNAcentral describes it as "Elymus nutans partial small subunit ribosomal RNA". The stretch from base 54 to 215 matches the Rfam family "Eukaryotic small subunit ribosomal RNA", at positions 701 to 864 of the family's 1831-position model. The record is from RNAcentral. Lineage: Eukaryota; Viridiplantae; Streptophyta; Magnoliopsida; Poales; Poaceae.